UCUAAACGACUCUCGGCAACGGAUAUCUCGGCUCUCGCAUCGAUGAAGAACGUAGCGAAAUGCGAUACUUGGUGUGAAUUGCAGAAUCCCGUGAACCAUCGAGUCUUUGAACGCAAGUUGCGCCCGAAGCCUUCUGGCCGAGGGCACGCCUGCCUGGGCGUCA
Molecule: ribosomal RNA, 163 nt
Filed under: Veronica persica (birdeye speedwell)
Lineage: Eukaryota; Viridiplantae; Streptophyta; Magnoliopsida; Lamiales; Plantaginaceae
Also listed under: 22 other names
Description: 5.8S ribosomal RNA
Rfam family: 5.8S ribosomal RNA
About the family: 5.8S ribosomal RNA (5.8S rRNA) is a component of the large subunit of the eukaryotic ribosome. It is transcribed by RNA polymerase I as part of the 45S precursor that also contains 18S and 28S rRNA.
Source: RNAcentral